GCCUCGUUAGCUCAGCUGGAUAGAGCAUCCGCCUUCUAAGCGGACGGUCAGGGGUUCGAGUCCCUUACGGGGUA
Molecule: transfer RNA, 74 nt
Filed under: Hymenobacter aranciens
Lineage: Bacteria; Pseudomonadati; Bacteroidota; Cytophagia; Cytophagales; Hymenobacteraceae
Description: tRNA-Arg
Rfam family: tRNA
About the family: Transfer RNA (tRNA) molecules are approximately 80 nucleotides in length.
Source: RNAcentral